GUGAGUCCCAAAUUGGGGUCCUAACACUGACCAGAAACUCCCAGACAGGGAGCCUGGUCCUAAUAACCAGACCCCAUUGAUACUUCAGCUAAGCGAGAUGGGGAGAUGGAAUUGCUCCCAUCAAGCAGCCCCAGUCAUAUUCCAGAGCACACUGGGGAGACCCUAGAGGCUAAGACCUGACUCCACUAUCUUCCAAGCUAGGAAGUGCAUGAGAAGGAGCAGGUCUGGGGGGAAGGGCAAACAUCCAUGCUUUCCUUUCAAAGCUUUGUGGCAUCAUCUUUUUUUUUUUUUUUUUUUUUUGAGAUGGAGUCUCCCUCUGUUGUCUAGGCUUGAGUGCAGUGGUGCAGUCUCCAAUCUCAGCUCACUGCAACUUCCACCUCCCAGGUUCAAGUGAUUCUCCUGUCUCAGCUUCCUGAGUAGCUGAGAUUACAGGCGCCCACCAACAUGCCUGGUUAAUUUUUGUAUUCUUAGUAGAAAAAGGGUUUCACCAUGUUGGCCAGGCUGGUCACGAACUCCUGACCUCAAGUGAUCCACCUACCUUGGCCUCCCAAAGUGCUGGGAUUACAGGUGUAACCACCGCACCUGGCGGCAUCAUCUUACACGUGUAUUUUUCAUAUGCUUACUUGAUGUCUACUUUGGCCACUAGACAGUAAGUGCCAGGAGGGCAGGGGCCCACAUCAGUUUUAUUCCCUGUUAUGCCCCCAGAUCCAGCCAGGUGCAUGGCAAGUAAACAAUGCCAGAAAACACUUGUGGAUUGAGUGUAGUUCAACUGGGGGUGAAAUGCCUCUGGGUCACAGAAGAACAGAUGCCCAAUCCCAGGACAGUGGCACAGCCCAGGAAGAAGAAAUGCAGCCACAUUGCUGGGCGCCAGUUCUAUCCCCAGGUGGUCUCACAUAACUCACAACCACCCCAGGAGUCCUGUUGAGAACUAAGGAUUAUCCAACCCAGUCAUUUUGAAUUCCCCUAACAACUAAACCCCCUUGAAAACAGCAUUUCACAGAGUCCAUUUUCUAUAAAAGAUCAAAGAGGAACAGCUCUGCUUGAAUCAAGCUUGAGAAGGUAGGAACCCCACUAGCUCGCCCACUCCUUCCUUCUGCCCUUCCCACCCCCCCAUAGGGGUGAGGCUCACAGAGGGAAAGGGACUUCCCACGAGUGCACUAGGGAAUGACGUAAGUGUCAGAGCCAGGAUGGGCCCAAGUCUCCUACCUUCCAUAUCACUGUGCUUUGCAAGACAGCCUACUGUCACUGAAGCCACCAACGUAACACAAUGCAAAAUACACUGCAAGAAACUCCUCCUAUCACAAAAGACUUCCAAGUCCUAGACUAGGGUCUGCCUUGGGUCCCUUGAGAUUCAAGAAGCUGAGGAAUGAUCAGCAAUGGAUAAUCUGAAUGCAUAUGCUUCCCAAAGAAAUUUUUACAAGAGAAACUUAAACCGCUACUGCCAGGAGCACUGGCCAUUCCAGCCAUGCCUCACUGGGAGGCCCUGAGCAUUCUAGCCGGCGGCUGCACAGCUGCUGGGGCAUCUCCAUGAGGAAGAGGGCGGUGGACAGGAGUCAUGAAGACUAAUUCGGAAACUCCCCUGAAGGAGGAGAAGACAUCUGAGCCAUCCUUGUGCCACCAAGCAAGAGUCACUCCAGCUCCUAAAAAGCCACCAUGGGAAGAGCUGCCUCCAAUUAAAGUUCUUGAUUGCACCAGAGGAUGUGUCCUUCUCUUUUCCUUUCCCCCUUACCAACUAAUGUCUUAUUAUUUUUAAAUAUAUUGUCACAUCUAACUAAGCUUAAAAAAUUUAGCCUAUUGGCUGGGCGCAGUGGCUCACGCCUGUAAUCCCAACACUUUGGGAGACCGAGGCAGGUGGAUCACAUGAGGUCAUAAGUUCAAGACCAGCCUGGCCAAUGCGGUGAAACCCCAUCUGUGCUAAAAAUAAAAAAAUCUGCCAGGUGUGGUGGCGUGCUCCUGUAAUCUCAGCUACUAGGGAGGCUGAGGCAGGAGAAUCACUUGAACCCAGGAGGCAGAGGUUGCAAUGAGCUGAGAUCUCGCCGCUGCACUCCAGCCUGGGUAACAGAGUGAGACUCCGUGAAAGAAAGAAAGGAAGGGAAGGGGGAAGGGGGAAGGGAAGAAAGAAAAAAGAGAGAGAGAGGAAGGAGAAAACAGCUUUUUGGAUACCUUCUGAAAUAAUUCCAAAUUUACAGAAAUGUCACAAGAAUAAUACAGAGAACUCCCAUUUAC
RNAcentral lists this long non-coding RNA (2226 nucleotides) under Homo sapiens (human). RNAcentral describes it as "HSALNT0154357". The record is from RNAcentral. Lineage: Eukaryota; Metazoa; Chordata; Mammalia; Primates; Hominidae.